This 792-nucleotide long non-coding RNA is filed under the name Homo sapiens (human). RNAcentral's name for it is "HSALNT0061147". Lineage: Eukaryota; Metazoa; Chordata; Mammalia; Primates; Hominidae. The record is from RNAcentral.
AAAAAAUUAGCCAGGUGUAGUGGCAUGCUCCUGUAGUCCCAACUACUGGGGAGGCUGAAGUGGGAGGAUCACUUGAUGCUAGGAGGAUGAGGCUGCAGUGAGCAGCGAUCACUCUACUACACUCCAGCCCGAGCAACAGAGUGAGACCUUGUCUCAAAAAAAAAAAAAAAAAAGUGAGGUCAACUUAAAAUGUAGAAUUAACCUUAUUUCAGCCAAGUAAGUAUUAAAACUUAUAGUUUCCAAGAACACAUUGCUGAUAGGGAAGGAAACUGGCAAAGAGGGAGACUCCAAGAAAGAAUGAGUAGAGACUCACACACCAACAUCAACACACACAGAGGAGACAGAUCAAGGGGGUAAGCCACAAACAGACCAUAGAAGGCCAGUGGCUGCAAGUGAAAGAAAUCCAACUCAACUAGCUUAGACAAACCACAGAAAGAGCCUCUAGAUAUCAACUCUGAUCUCCCUCAGACAAGUUCCUACAAGUGAAUGGAAGAACAACUGUUGGCAGUUUUCAGACCACAUCUCCCAGCUACCCCACCCAAGAAGAACUGCACUCUUUCCUUUCGUAUCAAUUCAAACAUCCUGGUGCAGAACUGCGGGUCUAGGGAGGGACAGGAGGGAAUGUCCAGAAGAAAUGAGAAGAUAUGAGGCUGCAAUUAAAAUAUUAAAUGUCUUCCACGUGGAAUCAUAAUUCUAAUUGGCUUCUGUUCUUUCUGGUUAUAAAUGCAUCAUUGUUUCCAUAAAUUCAGGAAAGAUGUAGAUAAAACAGGAGGUUAAUGAACACAACUGUAU